Hydra vulgaris (swiftwater hydra) is the source of this 485-nucleotide non-coding RNA. The record is from RefSeq and is a predicted model, not a curated record. NCBI's taxonomy places the organism in Eukaryota, Metazoa, Cnidaria, Hydrozoa, Anthoathecata, Hydridae.
GAUGAUGAUGAUGAUGAUGAUGAUGAUGAUGAUGAUGAUGAUGAUGACCAUGUUUAUCUACGGUAACGCCACGAAAAUCGUUCGUUAAGGCAACCUUUUUCGGUUUUGUAACGAAAAAGUUCUGAAAUGCAACUUACCGAUUCGGUAAGUCAUCACGCAAUUUUUUUAAAAUGUUUACAUUCGGUAUUGUCACCUCCGCGAAAAAUAAACUUUAAUCCUCCAUUGCAGCUAGCGGAAUUAUGUUAUGUUAAGAAAUGGUUUUGUGCGCCCUGUGUAGCUGUGAUGCAUCUAUUUCUGGUGCUUCUUGUGUACUGUGCAAAAAAGUGAUUGAUAGUAAAUGUCAUGGAGGCACUAUAGGAGAUGAAAAUAUUAUCUGUAAAGCAUGCGCAAAUGUUCCUAUCAAUCCUAAUGAAAUUGAUGAUAUGGUUGUGUCAGUUAUACAGCUACAGACAUAAUAUUUAUAAAGCUGGAGGUAGCGAAAAAAG